RNAcentral lists this small nuclear RNA (94 nucleotides) under Otolemur garnettii (small-eared galago). Lineage: Eukaryota; Metazoa; Chordata; Mammalia; Primates; Galagidae. The record is from RNAcentral.
AUAAAAAUUAAAAAAAAAAUUGAAAUGAUGCAGAGAUUUAGCAUGGCCCUUGUGCAAAGAUGACAUGCGAAUUUGUGAAGCAUUCCAUGUUAAA